UGCAAUCAGUGAUGAAGAUUUAUAGAUUGCUGAGUUGCUGCAGUGAUUAUGCUAUCAAAUCAAUCACCAUCUUUCGGCUGAGAUUGCA
This is a small nucleolar RNA of Dioscorea cayenensis subsp. rotundata (Guinea yam), 88 nucleotides long. The record is from RefSeq and is a predicted model, not a curated record. Lineage: Eukaryota; Viridiplantae; Streptophyta; Magnoliopsida; Dioscoreales; Dioscoreaceae.